GAGCCCGCUGCUGUCACCUCACUCUUUUCUGUUUUCUCUUUGUAAGCACAAGGGAAAAGACAAGCUCUCGGCUGGAAGUUACUGGAACAAGAAGGAGUCUUUAUGUUUAGGGCAACCUACAGACUUUCCUCAAGGAGGCAGAACCAGGCAUGGUGGUGCUCACCCGGAAUGCCAGCUCCCAGGAACCUGAGGCAGGAUUGCAAGGUACAGGCUAGACCUUGUCCCAAAUCUCCCGCCACCACUCCCUACCUACACUCGCAUCAGGAGGAGGCAAAGGACUGGGGCUAGCUUGGCGGUCUCCUGUAAUGUGCUUGCCUGCCAUGCAGCAAACUCCAGGUUCAAUCCUCAGAAGCAUGCAUGCCGAGUGACUACAUAAAGCAAAAGGAAUCCUCCGGCAAACAUGGAGCCAUCACAUGUAACAGCAACUCCAUGUGGACUGUGCCCUGACUUCCAGUGGAGAUGCUGUUACUCUUGAUGACCUCCAACCUGCUACAGAGGUGGGAAAGGGAGGACAGACAUUUCUGGGUACUUGAUUCUCAUUUGAUUCAAAAAUAAAAAGGAUGACCUUCUUUCUGUUUUCUAACUAACAAAUAAUUAAGACUGUAAAUGUUUUAGAAUCCAAGUGCUAGGUCACCAGAAGGACCCACGCAUGGAAGACAAUGAGCGUUCUUAUCAGGAGCUGGUGUACAGGAAAAUGACCUAUGAAUUGACAGACAGUACGGCUGAGUGUGUCUGUCAUUCUGUAGGCCAAUAUUCUGUAUGUCUCUGCUACUUCAAAGCCAGAAAUCAACUGACACCCUUCAGCAGUUGUGCAGCAGACCCCGGGGGAGUCUGUAGCCCAGCAGGAAAACAUGCUGACAAAAUAAAUGAGACGUGCUGGACA
Meriones unguiculatus (Mongolian gerbil) is the source of this 883-nucleotide long non-coding RNA. RefSeq lists it as uncharacterized. The transcript has 2 exons. The record is from RefSeq and is a predicted model, not a curated record. NCBI's taxonomy places the organism in Eukaryota, Metazoa, Chordata, Mammalia, Rodentia, Muridae.